GCGGAUAUGAUGAAAUUGGUAGACAUGUCAAGUUUAGGGCUUGAUUUAUUAUUAUUAGUGGUUCAAGUCCACUUAUCCGUA
This 81-nucleotide transfer RNA is filed under the name Teleaulax amphioxeia. RNAcentral describes it as "tRNA-Leu". It matches the Rfam family "tRNA". Rfam says of the family: Transfer RNA (tRNA) molecules are approximately 80 nucleotides in length. Lineage: Eukaryota; Cryptophyceae; Pyrenomonadales; Geminigeraceae. The record is from RNAcentral.